Long non-coding RNA from Pogoniulus pusillus (Red-fronted tinkerbird), 489 nucleotides. RefSeq lists it as uncharacterized. Lineage: Eukaryota; Metazoa; Chordata; Aves; Piciformes; Lybiidae. The transcript is spliced from 2 exons. The record is from RefSeq and is a predicted model, not a curated record.
CAGCACAUGGAAGAGUACAAGUCUUCAGCCUUUUAGUUUAGAAACUGCAACUUCAUGGUCUCUAUAGGGCAUCACCGUUGAAGAUUUUGCUUAUGGGCCUGCUGAGUACUCAGUGUCACCUUUAUCUGUAGCACAUGGGAAAGAAGAAUACCGUACUCAAAGAUGAGAACAUCAAUAACUUUGGCCAAGAAUGUCACCCAUCACUGGUGCCAGAUAAGCGAAAUGGAUCAAGAGGUAAAAAGGACAAGCCAGAAUGACCCCAAAAGAUGACCAUCAGGUGGCAAUGAGCAUGUGUGAAGAGUGAGGACAUUAUGGAAAUCAGCUCCAAGAACUGAUUGUAAUAACCCCACCUAUUCAUAGAACUAUGGGUGUUAAUCCUCUCCAUGUAGUGCAUAUGUAUGGUUUUGAGGCAUAAGUAGCUACCUGAACAGGUGCAAGGUGUGCAGUUUUGGUGUACCCAGUACCGUAAUAAAUGUACCUUCUCCACAA